AAUAACAAAGACUGGCUGGACCUGUACGUGUCAUUUGUCAAAUAAAAUUAUCUGCGAAAAUUAUUUACUAUGUAAUUUCAAACUUUUAUUUUAUUAAUAAAUUUAUAUAUGUUAUUUUAAUGAAACAUAAAAUGGUCAAAUUUCACAUUGAAAAGAACAUGCAGAGUAAGUUACGUUGAAAUAGAGACUUGGCGAAGAUUUCAAAAUGAAUUUAA
Molecule: unclassified non-coding RNA, 215 nt
Filed under: Melitaea cinxia (Glanville fritillary)
Lineage: Eukaryota; Metazoa; Arthropoda; Insecta; Lepidoptera; Nymphalidae
Description: misc RNA ENSMCXG00005015683.1
Source: RNAcentral